Molecule: ribosomal RNA, 486 nt
Filed under: uncultured bacterium
Lineage: Bacteria
Description: bacterial SSU rRNA
Rfam family: Bacterial small subunit ribosomal RNA
Source: RNAcentral
GACGAACGCUGGCGGCGUGCUUAACACAUGCAAGUCAAGGGGGCCCAGCAAUGGGCAACCGGCGAACGGGUGCGUAACACGUGAGCAACCUACCGAACUGUGGGGGAUAGCCGGCCUAACGGCCGAGUAAUACCGCAUACGCUCUCAGUGAGGCAUUUCAUUGAGAGGAAACCUACGGGACAGAUCGAGGGCUCGCGGCCUAUCAGCUAGUUGGCGAGGUAACGGCUCACCAAGGCAACGACGGGUAGCUGGUCUGAGAGGAUGGCCAGCCACAUUGGGACUGAGAUACGGCCCAGACUCCUACGGGAGGCAGCAGUGGGGAAUCUUGCGCAAUGGCCUAACGGCUGACGCAGCGACGCCGCGUGUGGGAUGAAGCUCUUCGGAGUGUAAACCAUGUUGCCCGGGAGAACAGCUCGAUUUCUCGAGCCUGACGGUACCGGGUGAGGAAGCACCGGCUAACUCCGUGCCAGCAGCCCGCCGCGUAAC